RNAcentral lists this ribosomal RNA (877 nucleotides) under uncultured bacterium. Its description in RNAcentral is "bacterial SSU rRNA". It matches the Rfam family "Bacterial small subunit ribosomal RNA", at positions 547 to 1425 of the family's 1533-position model. The record is from RNAcentral.
GGAAUUNCUGGGCGUAAAGCGGGCGCAGACGGUUACUUAAGCAGGAUGUGAANUCCCCGGGCUCAACCUGGGAACUGCGUUCUGAACUGGGUGACUAGAGUGUGUCAGAGGGAGGUAGAAUUCCACGUGUAGCAGUGAAAUGCGUAGAGAUGUGGAGGAAUACCGAUGGCGAAGGCAGCCUCCUGGGAUAACACUGACGUUCAUGCCCGAAAGCGUGGGUAGCAAACAGGAUUAGAUACCCUGGUAGUCCACGCCCUAAACGAUGUCGAUUAGCUGUUGGGCAGCAUGACUGCUUAGUAGCGAAGCUAACGCGUGAAAUCGACCGCCUGGGGAGUACGGUCGCAAGAUUAAAACUCAAAGGAAUUGACGGGGACCCGCACAAGCGGUGGAUGAUGUGGAUUAAUUCGAUGCAACGCGAAGAACCUUACCUGGUCUUGACAUGUACGGAACCCUCCAGAGACGGAGGGGUGCCUUCGGGAGCCGUAACACAGGUGCUGCAUGGCUGUCGUCAGCUCGUGUCGUGAGAUGCUGGGUUAAGUCCCGCAACGAGCGCAACCCUUGUCAUUAGUUGCCAUCAUUAAGUUGGGCACUCUAAUGAGACUGCCGGUGACAAGCCGGAGGAAGGUGGGGAUGACGUCAAGUCCUCACGGCCCUUAUGACCAGGGCUUCACACGUCAUACAAUGGUCGGUACAGAGGGUAGCCAAGCCGCGAGGUGGAGCCAAUCUCACAAAACCGAUCGUAGUCCGGAUUGCACUCUGCAACUCGAGUGCAUGAAGUCGGAAUCGCUAGUAAUCGCAGGUCAGCAUACUGCGGUGAAUACGUUCCCGGGUCUUGUACACACCGCCCGUCACGCCAUGGGAGUGGGGGAUACCAGAA